CAGUCGCCGCGGGAAUACAGAGGGUGCAAGCGUUAAUCGGAAUUACUGUGCGUAAAGCGCGCGUAGGUGGUUUGUUAAGUUGGAUGUGAAAUCCCCGGGCUCAACCUGGGAACUGCAUCCAAAACUGGCAAGCUAGAGUAUGGUAGAGGGUGGUGGAAUUUCCUGUGUAGCGGUGAAAUGCGUAGAUAUAGGAAGGAACACCAGUGGCGAAGGCGACCACCUGGACUGAUACUGACACUGAGGUGCGAAAUCGUGGGGAGCAAACAGGAUUAGAUACCCCAGUAGUCCCUGUCUCUUAUAC
Molecule: ribosomal RNA, 301 nt
Filed under: uncultured bacterium
Lineage: Bacteria
Description: partial 16S ribosomal RNA
Rfam family: Bacterial small subunit ribosomal RNA
Source: RNAcentral